Molecule: ribosomal RNA, 303 nt
Filed under: uncultured bacterium
Lineage: Bacteria
Description: bacterial SSU rRNA
Rfam family: Bacterial small subunit ribosomal RNA
Source: RNAcentral
UGGGGAAUAUUGCACAAUGGGGGGAACCCUGAUGCAGCGACGCCGCGUGGGUGAAGGAGUAUUUCGGUAUGUAAAGCCCUAUCAGCAGGGAAGAACAAUGACGGUACCUGACUAAGAAGCACCGGCUAAAUACGUGCCAGCAGCCGCGGUAAUACGUAUGGUGCAAGCGUUAUCCGGAUUUACUGGGUGUAAAGGGAGCGCAGGCGGCGCGUUAAGCCUGGUGUGAAAGCCCGCGGCCCAACCGCGGGACUGCAUUGGGAACUGGCGCGCUGGAGUGCCGGAGGGGUAGGCGGAAUUCCUAGU